UCUAUCCUCUUCUCUAAGGUCUCUCAGUCUUGCUUUUUGUGAUUUGCAAGGAAAAUUCCCAAAAAACAUUUUUGAUUUGCAAAACCUCAAUCUCCUCAACUUGAGAUACAACCAAUUGAGUGGACAAAUUCCAAGAUCAUUGGGGAACCUCUUGCAACUCACUCAUUUACACUUGUCGGGGAACCAAUUGAGUGGACAAAUUCCAUUGUCAAUUCUAAACCUAACGCAGUUGGAAUACUUGGAAAUAUCUGAAAAUUCUUUAGAAGGUUCCAUUCCAGAUGAGGUAACCGCUUUUCCUAAUCUAAUAUAUUUAUACUUAUCUGACAAUUUACUCAAUGGAACACUUCCGUCAUGGUUGUAUACUGCUCCCUGCUUAAAGGAAAUAUAUCUCUCUCAAAAUCAAUUCAGUGGGCAUAUCAAAGAAUUCCAAACCAAAUCACUAGAAUAUUUAUAUCUAGAAAAUAAUAAACUCCAAGGUCCCCUUCCAUCUUCAAUAUUCCAACUUCUCAAUCUUACCGGGCUCCUUUUAUCCUCAAAUAAUCUUAGUGGUGUCAUAGAGUUGAGCAUGUUCUCAAACCUUCCAAAUCUCAAAUAUCUUGACCUUUCAUAUAACAGCCUAUCCUUAAUAUCUAAUACUACUUCUACUGUUAAUCAUAUAUUGCCUAAUCUUACAGGCUUACAUUUGUCAUCUUGCAAUCUUAGUGAAUUCCCCCAAUUUUUGAAAGGGCUUAAAAGUUUGGAAAGCUUAGACCUCUCUUGCAACAAAAUUGAAGGCAAGAUUCCACAGUGGAUGCAAGAGGUGGGGAAUGUCUCUUUGACUUACUUCAACGUAUCUCACAACUCUUUGACAGAAGUUGAGCACUUUCCAUGGAAGAAUAUUGAUGUUCUUGACUUAAGCUCCAAUUUGAUCAGUGGAAAUCUUCCGAUUCCAGCUUCGACGAUCAGAGUCUUUCUGAUCUCAAAUAAUAGUUUCAAUGGAGAGGUCUCUUCUUUAAUAUGCAAUGCCAGUUCUCUUCAAAUUCUUGAUUUGUCCCACAAUAACUUGAGUGGAACAAUUCCGCAAUGUUUCGGAAAUUUGAGCGACAGCCUUGAAUUCUUGAAUCUGAAGAAGAACAAGUUUUAUGGGACGAUUCCUCCAACAUUUGCAGAGGGAUGCCAGUUGACUAAUUUCAACUUAAAUGGAAAUCUGUUAGAAGGGCCUUUGACACCAUCCAUCCUUAAUUGUAGAGGUCUGGAAGUGCUAGAUCUUGGUAACAACAAGAUCAAUGAUACAUUUCCUCAUUGGUUGGGAAAUCUUCCAUAUUUGCAAGUUCUUGUAUUGAAGUCAAAUCAUAUGCAUGGUUCUUUGCGUGUCAAUAGCUCCAAGUCUAGCCCCUUUUUCUCUAAAAUCCAAAUUUUUGACCUCUCAAGUAAUUAUUUUUCUGGACCCCUACCUGUGAGGUACAUCAACAGCUUCAAGGCUAUCAGAAAUCUAGAGAAGAUUCGUAGUACAGUGUCGUACAUGGGGGUGAAUGGUCGGAAUGGUAGUGGCUUCUAUACCUAUUCCAUUGGAAUUGUUAUGAAAGGACAAGAUAUGGAAUUGGUGAAAAUUUUCACCAUGUGGAUGAUCAUUGAUCUAUCAAACAAUCAGUUUGAAGGGGGUAUUCCAGAGGUUUUUGGAAAGCUUAACUUACUGAAAGGGCUCAACCUUUCUCAUAAUAACCUUAGUGGUGGUAUCCCCACCUCAAUAGGGAAUUUGACAAGUCUUGAAUGGUUGGACCUAUCUUCAAACAGGUUGUCUGGGACGAUUCCAAAUAGAUUGGCAGAUCUGGCAUUUCUUUCGUCCUUCAAUGUUUCUGAAAAUCAACUCCAUGGUCAGAUUCCUCAAGGAAAACAAUUCAACACAUUUGGAAAUGAUUCAUAUCAAGGGAAUAAGGGACUAUGCGGGUUUCCAGUCUCGAAAGGUUGCAACAUCAUUGAGCCAGCACCUCCAAAUGUGCUUGAAAAAGAUGGCUCAAAAUCAAACAUUACUUUUGGUUGGAAAGUGGUGUUGAUAGGUUAUGGAUGCGGAGUGGUGUUCGGAAUGUCCGUGGGAUAUGUUGUUUUCCAAACUGGUAAGCCGAAAUGGUUGGUGAAUUUGGUUGAAAUCCAACAUGAGAAGAUGCGAAGAAGAAAGUCAAAGGAUGGCAGUCGCAGCAAUGGACGAAGAAGGAUCUAGUUAGUGGAAAUGGUGUUCAAGUGUUGAUGUUGUAUCUUCAUAAUUUCUUGUUUUGAAGUCUUUCAAUUUUUUUCCUAUGGUGAAAGGUUGCAUUGCCAUGCAUCUGUCUUUAUUAUUGUAACAAUUCAUCUAUAUUUCAUUGCAUUACGUCCUAUAACAUUUUGUAUGGUUCAACCAUUUAUAUCUUCUUUCAUGACUUCCAUUUUUGAGUCUCAAUAAUCUCUGCAUUCAAGAUUUUGUCAGCUUAUUAAUUGGUGGAUCAAUAAUCUUCAUGCUCAUCUCAUCAUCUUUUUCUCGAGUUUCUUCUGUGUGGAAAAUAAUUUGACAUUCUGCAAAUUUCCACAAUGCUUGUGGAUUACCUUUGGUUAACAGCUAUACAUAUAAAGGAAGAAAACAAGACCAUGUCCAAAUUUCCAAAAAUUAGCCAUUGAUUUUUGAACAGUUAAACUUUCGUAUUCUAUUUUUUAAAAUUGUAAAUUCUCAAAUAAUGUAAAUUAGUCCUAAAACUCAAGUUUUGAAAUCUUUACAAUUUAACCCCUUAUAGUUUCAAACUUUACUGUUUUAUACUCAACUUUCUAAAUUUUCAUAUUUCAUGAUCAUAUAAUUUAGUUACUACAUCAAUAUUUGAGAUUUCACUACUCAAACCCUUACUUCAUUUCGGUCGUUACUUCAAUUUUAUCAAAUUACAUCAUUUUUCAAUUUGAAUGCAUUGAUGUGAAAUUGAGGGACCACUAAACAAUGUUGAUGAGAGUUUAGGCAAAAUUGGUGGAUCCGAUCUCCUUAGUAAUUUCUUUGUGGAAGUACCUACUUUCACAAUGCAAACUUGGAUAGUUUGUGGUGGACGAUGAUGAAUCAUUUCACAGUCAAACACAUAAUUUUUAAACACAAAAUUAACGAUAUAUUGAAAUCAUUAUUGAAAUUAUAAUCAAAAUUAAUACAUGUUCUUUUUAUUAGCUUAAGGGCGUAAAAACCCUUCAAAAUUUUCAAAAAAAAAAAAUUUAAGUCCUUUUUUUCUACUCAAUUGAGCACUUAAACUUUUAAAAUGUAUCAAAAAUAUCUUUACACUUCUUCAAAAAAAGCAAUUAAACCCCUUUUUUUUCCGCUCAAUUGGGUACUUGAACUUUCAUAAUGCAUAAAAAAAACCUUAAAUUUUUUUUCAAAGAAACAAUUAAGCCUCUAUUUUUUUCCCACUCAAUUGGGUACUUGAACUUUCAUAAUGCAUCAAAAAGGCCUUUAUUUUUUUUCAAAAAAGCAAUUAAGCCCCUACUCUUAUUAAAAAUUAGAAAAAAUCAUAAAAAUAAUAAAGUUCAAGUACCCAAUUGAGUGCCAAAAAAUAAAGUAGGGGCCUAAUUGCUUUUUUUGAAAAUGUUUGAGGGUCUUUUUGAUGUAUUUUGAAAGUUCAAGUACCCAAAUGAGUGCAUAAAAAGAACAGGGGUUUAGUUGCUAUUUUUGAAAAAGUUUGCACCCUUAAACCUCUUUUCUUUUUCUUUUUCAUAUGUGGCCUUGUUUGCUACAACUUAGUUGCUAAGUUAAAGGGAGUGAAUAGAGCACCAUUUUCUUCUUCUGCGUGGAAAAUUAAGUUGGCAUUAUGCCAAUUUCCACAUUCAUACAUACAAAGGAAGCAAGAGCAAGUCAAUAUACUUUGUAAUCUCAUCAAUUCUAAUUUUUAAAGUGUUGUUUACUACACACUUAGGGACCAUAUAUGUAUAUAUACAUUGCAGUCUGGGUCUUUGUCGUGUUUUGUUGGUUGGCUAUGGCCUUCUUGUUGUUUCCACUGUCUGCGGUGUUUGUUUCUAAGUCAUAUGUGGCCCUGUUUGCUACAACUUAGUUGCUAAGUUAAAGGGAGUGAAUAGAGCACCAUUUUCUUCUUCUGCGUGGAAAAUAAGUUGGCAUUAUGCCAAAUUCCACAUUCAUACAUAUAAAGGAAGCAAGACCAAGUCAAUAUACUUUCUAAUCUCAUCACUUCUUCUUUCUUUAGGGAGUUCAAGUGAAAUACAAAUUUUUUCACAUCCAAUCUCAUAAAUAAUCCGUCUUUGAACUUUCACCAAAAAAUAUUAAAUACCCAUUCACUUCAAUUCUACUAUUCUUAAAUCAUUAAAGUUUUGUGGAAAAUAUGCUUCUUGGAUAAAAUUAUUCAACACACAUGCCUUGAAUUUUAUGCAAAUAAAAUAAAUGAAUAUAGGCCACACAUGCUUUGAAUUUUUAAGUAGUCCAUAAUUUUGUUCGUUUGUGUGCAAAAUUCUACAUUGCUUGACAGCCAUACAUACUAAGUAAAUAGACACCCACAUUGUUUACAUAUUAUGAGGAAGAAGACCAAGUCAAUCUACUUUGUAAUCUCAUCAAUCUUAAUUUUUUCAGUUGUUUAGGGAGUUCAAAUGAAAUACAAAAUUUUGAAAAAAAAAUGUAUCCAAUUUUGUGAAUGAAAAAUUUAUGGUAAAAAGGAUUUGGUAUGGAUACUUCAGCCCGGGUAGCAAUACUCAGGGUAAGUUUAUCAAUACAUUGCUUUUGGUUGGAAAGUGGUGUUGAUAGGUUAUGGAUGCGGGGUAGUGUUUGGAAUGGCCAAAAUAUAGCAAUCGCAUCAGUGGAUGAAGAAGGAUCUAGUUGGUGCAAAUGAAGUUAAAGCAUUUCUGCCGUCUCUUCAUAAUUUCUUGUUUGGUAGUCUGUCAGAAAGUUUUUCCUAUGGUGAAAAGUUUGAGUUGCAUUUAUAAAAUUUCCACUGUCAAAAGAUUCGAUUGCACUGCAGGGUAACAUAUUUAAGAUUGGAUUACACUGUCAAAAGAUUGCAGCAACGAUGAGAUUAAUCCAAUUACAGGAAUUGGUAUCCUAAAUGGCUUUUUGGUACGUAGCUUCAUUGACGGUACAAACUAGUUAAAAUUUCCAGCAUUCAUGUGUUUGUUUUCCCUCAAGUAAACGUAGUCAAUACUGCAAAUGGUGUGGAAGUACUGUACAUUGUGGCCCAAAUGUCCAAAAUUUCCACAUUGCAUGUAAAUUAAGUUUGCGUGAGAGAGAUAGGAGGAAGCAACAGCAAGUGUGAAGUCAAUAGACAACUGAUAGUCUUAGUCUUUUUUUGUCGAGUUAAAGUGUAGUCAAUAGACAAUUGAUAGUCUUAGCCCUUUUUGUGGAGUUAAAAGUAUAGUCAAUAAACAAUUGAUAGUUAAAUUUGUAGCAUUCUUCUUCCUCUUUAUUCUUUUGUGUGGAAAAUUAUUUGGGACCAAACUUGACGUGUUAUAAGGAAGAAGACUUUGUAAUCUCAUGAAUGUUAAUUAUUUUACUUCUUUGGUAAAAAAAGUAACCAAUUUUAUGAAUGAAAAAUAUUAUGUGGUAAAAAGGAAGUAGUUGUUCAUCACUAACAAUAUGAUGAUUGUGGAAAUACAAAAAAUCCCAUAUAUGUGUUGAAUUCUGCAUAAUAUAAAUGUCCUGCAUUGCAUGUGAAUUCUGCAAUAGACCAAACUUUACGUGUUAUAGUCCUUUAAACUGAGUUAAUGAAAAGUAACCAUUCUUAUCAAAUUUAGUUAUACUCUUAAUUUAUAACAAAGGAAAGAGUAAUUUGAGUUUAACUCAAAGGUUAAUAUGUCAUCAAUGGGUGAUGGCGUGGCGCUACCAUGUCAGCGAUUAUUUUCUUCUUUGAAUUAAGGUGAUUUCACCAAUUUUAGUUUACUUUUUUACUUCAAUUUAGGUUUAUGCUUAUUAGCUUCAAAGAUUCUAAGUGGGUGCCACAAUCAAAGGGUGAGUAAAAAGGGUUAAAAAUGAUUUUUUUAAAAUUUUUUAUUUUUAUUAAAAAUUUAGAAUUAGAAUUAGACAAAUUUUGUAAAAGUUAAGGGCUAACUUUAUUGAUUUUUUUUUUCAGAAUUCGAACUAAAAUUACAUUUUGUAAAAAGAGCUAAAUUUGUUGAGUUUUUUAUAUUUAGGAUCAAAUUGAUAGAAUGUGUAAAUAUUAGAGGUUAAAUUUGUUAUUAGAUCAAUAAAAAAACCCACAUUAGCUUUGCGUCACUCAUCUAACGACAACUAAAGGGAGAGUUAUUAAAAUAUUUAAUUUCAAAAAGUUUAGCAACUAAAUUGGAAAAUUUAAUAGUUGGGUGACUAUUUUUGCAGUUUACUACUUUUUUGGUCACCUGACUAUUAAGUGACACUUUUUAGUUGGUAUAAUAAUAAUUUUAGUCCUCAAUUUUUAUACUUUCUGUCAAUUUGACUCUGAUUAUAUAAAAUGAUUACAAAAGUGAAAUUCUUUUUAAAAUUUACAAAAUUCUAAAAAUUAAAAAUUAAAUGAAAGUAGAUAAAAAUUUCAAAUAUAAACAAAGUGAGAGAAAAUGAGGGAAAUAUUAUUUUUAAACCCUCCAACUUUUCUUUGUAUUAUCGUAAAGAAAUAUCUAAUAUCCAUUCUUUUAGAAAACAUAGAAAAAAGUAAAAAAAAAAAAGAUUAAGUAAAAUUAUCUGUAUAUAAUCUGCUUUUAUAAUUUGGGUUUUUAAAAAUAAAUUUAAAUGAAUUGAAAAUUCGAAUUGAGUUUGAAAAAUAAAAUUUUGUGGUAUAUUUUAUAUUUUUGCUAGAAAAAUGGCAUCAAAGUUGAUUUUGUAAGCUUUUGUAAUAUCAGUUACGGAUGUUCUUCAAGGGCAUGGAACUCAACUUGAAAAUUUUACUAAUUUGGUUGCAAAAAAACAUUGAGGAAGCAUAUAAUGAUCUAACCUUUUUUGUUUUGUUUUGUUUUUAAUUUGUUAUGGGAUUCUAUUGAAUGAUAAUUUUUUUUUAUUUCCCAUACAUAUUAGUUCUUCAAAAACAACAUAUUCGAGAUUUUAUUUUUCUAGAAUUUUUAUAUAGAAGUUUAUAUUUUUUAAAAUAAAUUUGAGUUUUUUUUAGAAUUUUUAUAUAGAAUCGAGGUAAAUUGGCAAAAAAAAUUAUAAAAACAAAAUACUAAAAUUGUUAUUAUAGCAACUAAAAAGUGUCAUUUAACAAUAGGGUGACCAAAUUGUAACUUUUUUAGUUAAGUGACCAAAACGAAGAUUUACCCAUAGUUUAGUGGCUAAUUAUGUAGUUUACCCUUUCAUAAUUAAAAAAUAGUUGUUAAGUUUUUCUUGUAUUAGAUAACAAUUUAGAUGGUAAAAACCCUCUUUAGUCCCUCUCAAUUUUGAUAUUAAGUAAAAUUGUCCAUUUAAAAAAAAAAUCAAAGCAAUUUAAUAUUUGUUAAUUUCGAAAGUGAGCAACUAAGGACAAUUAAUCACAAUGUCAAUAUUUUCCAUCAAUUGUACAUAUUUUUAUUGGUGUAAUAACAAAUUUAGCUCUCAAAGUUUACACAUUCUGUCAAUUUAGUCUUGAUUUAACAAAUUUAACCCGCAACAAUUACAUAUUCUAUUAACAUUGACACAUAAUAUAUAAACAUUGAGAGCUUAAUUUUUUAUUGUAUCAAUAAAAAUUAUGUACAAUUUACAUAAAGCAUUAACACAAUGAUUAAUUGUCCUUAGUUGCUCCCUUUCAAAAUUGAUCAUGAUUAAAUUGCUCUAAUUUUCUGAGAGGAACCAAUUUGUUCAAUAUAGAAAUUGAGAGGGACGAGAAAUGUGUUUUUUAUCCAUUUUAGAUACCAACAAGUGUUUGGCAUAGUCGCAAGACAUAUUACAUUCUCAAGGAGAGAAUGCGUAGUCAAACGUUGGAGAUAUCAAUGUUGUGUGGGGUAUCCAAGGAUCUCGAACACGAACUGUAAAACAUAUAUAAAGAAUAAAAAAAUAACAUCUUAAUUUAAAUAAUUAUAAAUUUUAAUUUGAAAAAAGUAUUUUGAGAAACAUAAGUUUUAGAAGUAGUAAAAUUGAAUCGAUAAAACAUGUCCAUUAUAUCAGAAUCAUAAAAAUACAACUUAAUUAAUUUGAAUUUAAACUUAACUCAACUCGACUUGAUUAUAAAAACUGAUAAUUUGAAUUCAAAAUGACAUGAUCUUGAAAUGAUUUGAAUUAAUUGUCAGACCCGAACGACAAAACUCGAAAUGAUGCAAUCCAAAAACACAAAUCAAGUGAACUAAACUACGAAAAAAAAAACCUUACACUGACUCAAAUCCAAAAUAGUUUAAUCCUAAAAUAACCUAAAUUUUAUAUAAUAAAAACUCGAAAUAACCCGAAAAUUUUUAAAUUAAAAUUGAUCCGACCCAAAUUCACACCACCUAAAAUCAAUCGUAACCACCUAAUUAAAAAGCAUGAAAUGAAAUGAUGUAAAGAGAAAAUCAGAGAAAACCAAAUAGAAAGUAACAAGCCUUUUUCAGAAUUGAAAGCAAAUUCCGUACAUUCACGACAUGCAUAAAACAACAAUGGUUUAUAGAAUUUGAGUUUUAGUCCCUGUACUUUAAAAGUUAAUUUUUCUUAAUUUAAAAACUUUAGUUUAAUCAUUUAUGUUGGUUGUAGUUUCCGUUAGCUUAAUCAACAUGUUAAAUUACUAAAUUUUGACAAAAAAUACUUACGAGUUUAAUGAUUGUACCGAGAUUUUUAAAUAAAAAAGUCGGAAGACUAAUUUCUAACCUUUUAAAUAUAGGGACUAAAAGCAUCUUUUAACUUUGAUAUUAUUAUUAUAAGCAGGGAUAAUGUCACCUUUGGCAUCUGUACUUUCAUAAAAUGUCUAGUGGUACAAGUACUUUGAAAAUAUAUAAUGUGGUACCUGAACUAUCAAUAGGUGUUAUUAUUAUGGUACAUGUACUUUGAAAAUGUUUAAUGUGGUACCUAAACUAUCAAUAUAUAUUUUAUUAUGAUACUUGAUAAAGACGGACUAUGGUGGCUUAGGGGGCUCUUUGUCCCGCCACCCUUGCAAAAAAAAAAAAAAUCGAAGAAUUUUGUUUUUUCCUUUAAAAUUUUUAGAAAAUUUCAAUUAGGCCCUCAAAAUUUUUGAAAAUUUUCAUUAUACCUUUUAAUUUUUUUGAAAAUUUUAAUUAAGCACUCUUAAAUUUUGAAAAUUCUCAUUGAUCUCACAAAAAUUUUAAAAUUUUUUAUUAGACCCCCAAUUUUUUUAAAAAAAAUCUUAUUAAACCAUUAAAUUUUUAGCAAAUUUUACCUGCCCCCUCCCCCCCAAAAAAACCUAGUCCCAACUACUAGUAUCCGCCAUUGUUACUUGGUAUUAACACUGUUAGAAAAUUGCUAAAUCAACCAAUAAAAAUUUGACACAUAGAACCCUUUUUUUAAUUAUCAAGUCCACGUGGAUAAUAUAAUAGUGAAAAAAUAAAUAAAAAAUAAUUAAAUGAAAUUAAAAAACAAAUAACUAAACAUAUGGUUAAUAAAAAAAAACCCAUACUUUCAAAGAUAAUAAAAAAUAUUAUUUAAAAAUCAAUUGAAAAUAUUAUUUUAAAAGGAAAACUCUUUGAAGAAGAUGAUCAUUUGCUUAAAUGGAGAAUAUAAUAUUUUUGGUUAUGUAAGUUUAGUAUUUACUUCUUUUUUAUUAAUCAUAUGUUUAGUUUUUUUUUUAAUUAAUUUAAUUGUUUUAUUUAGUUUUUCACAUAAUGUUAUUUUACACAUGCGGACUUGAUGAAUUAGAAAAAAAAUAUUAUGUGUCAAAUUUUCAUUGGUUGGUCUAAUAAUUCAUUAACGGUGGAUUUGUUCUACAUUGAUGACAAAGAUGUGGAGUUUAAAGAAGUAAGAACUUAUCAACAAUAUUCGAGGUUCUGUUAUAUGUUACCUUAUUAAAAAAGUCAUCACUUAAAUUCUUCUAUGUUGCCUUAUGUAUGUAGGUUCUUGAGUCACCUUUGCCAAAAGCACCGCUUGAUACAUCUGUUACAUCCCACUGGCUUGCGAUUGAAGGCAUUCAACCAGCAAUUCCAGAAAAUGCUUCAAUUGAAGGUACCGUCUUAGCUAACCUAAAUAUUCUCUCGAAGCUAUUUGUGUUGAAGACUCUCAUGGUUCAUGUUCUUUUCUGGUUUUAUCACUUUAAUCUAAUACGACUUAUCGUCAUUUCUACACGGAAUUUGUAUUUUGCUUUCCAUGCAGCACCUUCUGAUGGUAAAAAGGCUGAAUACAAAAAAGAUGGGCUUUCCGUUGAUGUCAAAUUACCUGUUAAGCAUGUAUUAUCUAGAGAGCUUCAAGUAUGUUGUACAUCUUCAGCAACAUUUUUCUGUUAAAAUACAUUUUGCACAGAAUGAUAUUAAAAGACUAAUUUGGUUGUCAUGCAGCUUUACUUUGACAAGAUCGUGGACAUUACCAUGAAUAAAUCAGUCUCAAUUCUCUUUAAACAAGCAUUACUGAGUUUGGCAACAGACUCGGGAUUACAUCCUUUAGUUCCUUAUUUUACAUAUUUUUGCGGAUAUCUCAUACCUGAUUAUAUAUGUGUGUUGCAAAGAACUUUUGGUUGGUUAUCUCGAGCUUACAUUUUUGCCACAUUUAUCUCAGGUUGCACGGAGUAAUUUCCCUCUCAUGUUUGCUUUGAUGCGUGUUGCCCGGAGUCUUCUCCAGAAUGAACACUUACACAUAGAACCUUACUUGAGUUUAUUAUUUCAAUCAUUUAGAAGUACACGAACUAAUGCAAAUAUGCUAGUGGUUUAUUUUCCACCUAUCUGAUUUUUUAAAAUGUUCUUCAGUUACACCAGUUGAUGCCAUCUAUUAUUACCUGCCUCGUUGCAAAAAGGUUAGGAAAUAAAUUCACCGACAAUCAUUGGGAACUUAGAAACUUCGCAGCAAAGCUAGUGGCAUCAUUAUGCAAAAGGUGAGGAUUUCUUUUCUUUUGGACUUAUACAUGCAUAUUCGUUUUUAUGAAUCUCAGGUGUCUGAUUUUUUAGUUAUAAACUUGGAUCUAUUCUUCAAAUCAUGUGUAUAUCAUUUUUAUGCUAUUUCACACAUGCAAAACAAAUGGUGCGAGCGUGCAUGUUAUAUGCAGAAUGCAUAGAUUAAUUACAUGUGGAUCAUUAAGCAUGCCUAUGUUUGACCAUUGUGUGUGGCUACUUUUUUUUACAUGAUCCAAUUUUCGAUAUGCUUUGCUUUUAGGUUGAAUGCGGAAAAGAUUAGAACUUAGUUUCCAGCAUAAUGAUUUGUCUUGGAUAUGCAGAUUUUUACAUGCAUUUCUUACAAGUCAAUAUUUUAUAGAUUUGGGCAUGUUUAUCACAAUCUUCAGCCACGUGUGACAAGGACACUGCUCCAUGCUUUUUUGGACCCAACGAAAACAUUUCCCCAGCAUUACGGAGCAAUUCAAGGGUUAGCAGCCCUUGGACCCAGUGUGGUAUAAUUCUAAUCUCAAAUAUUUACUAGCAACACAAUAAGAUACUUGUUUGUGGGAUCAACUGGUCAAAGAUAUUGCAAUGAUAGCCAUCUUUUUAAGCCCAUUUCUUUCAGAAAACUGUUUUGUCACUCUUUUCUGCAAGAUCCGAAGAAAGAAAGAACUUGGAAAUCUAUAGUCCAAAAGUGUAAAUAUGCGGUUUCUCUAUAGGUAUCUUUAUUAUGGCAUCUGUACAGUUUGUCUUUCAUAUGUUUGGCUAACGCUUCUUCUUCCAUGUGUAGGUUCGUUUACUUAUACUACCAAAUCUUGAAGCGUAUUUGCAGCUUCUUGAACCUGAAAUAAAAAGACACGAGGCCUGGUGUGUUUAUGGGGCCCUGCUGGUAAGUUCCACAUCAAAUUUGGUACCAGUUUAUGAGCAUCGUUUCAUUUAUUUGCUGUAGAACUAACAACACUGCAUAAAAUUUCCACUAACAGCGUGCAGCUGGACUGUGCAUGUAUGAUCGGCUUAAAAUGUUCCCCAGUUUGCUAGCACCCCCAACUCGUCCCGUUUGGAAAAGCAACAACAAAGUUGCGACAAGUAUGAUUUCUUCGAACCAUCAUAUUUACACUUAAUCCACAAGUCUCUUCUCCCCCUUUACGAUAUUCCUUUUUCUGAUCAACCAAGAUAAACGAAAAGCAAGCACGGACACCUUGAUGCAGCAGCAACAACCUGCCAAGAAAAUAGCAACUGAGAGUGCAAUAGGUAUGAUGCCAAUAAAUUCCAUGCAAGCUGAUUUACAAGGGUCAGUUAGCGGCUUUUCUACCACCGUAGGAGGUUCCAAUAUCGGUGUAUCAUCAAUGUCACGGCCGUUAUCAAACUAUAACAUGCUUGGAAGGGAGGCUGGGGGUCGAGUUUCAAAGACAUCAACCGUUCUAGCUCAGGCUUGGAAGGAAGACACAGACGCAGGGAACUUGUUAGCAUCAUUAUUUGAACUUUUUGGUGAAAGUAUGUUAUCAUUUACUCCCAAACCUGAGCUUUCAUUCUUCCUUUGAUUGAAUUUCACCUCCAAAAGCUAUAGUUUUUGAAGGAAUUUGUGUAAAUUAUCCCCAUAGUUUUUUUCAGUCUUACUGUGUUUAUCUUUAUAAGUCUUCUUUUUUUCCUUGCUCAUAAAUGUAUUGUAGUUAUCAGAAAAUAUAUUCUACUUUGGAUUUUGUUUAUAUUAAAUUUUAGGUUAAAUUCUGCUAUUAGUCUCUGUAUUUACGAAAAUGAUGGAUUUAGUCCUUAUACCUUAAUUUGAUCAAUUUUAGUCAUUGUAUUUUUUGAAUUGGUCAAUUUUAAACUAUUUACUUUUUGAAGUUUGAAAUUUUAGUCUUGAUCCAAAUAAUAAUAAUAAUUAAAUCUGCUUAUUUAAAUUCAAUUAUUAGUUUUGUAUUAUGUAGAUAGUUAUAAAUUUAGGGUGGGUUUGGAUGGGCUGUGCUUUUACCUGCAGUUAGUGUAAAAAUAGCGGCGGUGGUGAGAUUAGAUAUCCAAGGUACCUAAUUUUUAUUUUGGCCAUAAGUACUACUAAAACUAUUCUUCCGUUACCCAUUUUAUACCAAAAUGUUAUAUCGGCUAAAAAGAUUCCAACAAAUAAUAGAUUGUAUGUCAUAUAAACUUUUUUAAAAAAUCAUUAAUUAAUUAAUUUUUAUAUUUUUCUUUCUUAUUCCUUUAUAAUGUUUGACAAUGUCGAUAAUGCUUGAAAUUGGCCCACUUGAGGUCGAAACGCUGGUGAUUAAUUUUGGUUUUGAAUUUCACCACCUACUUCUCUGACCAGAGGGGAUAGAAAAAGUUCUUUCAUCGAUCAAAACUAGUAUUUUCAAAAACAGACUGAUUCUACGGGUUGGAUAGGAAAUCGGUUUGGAAAUAGGGGUUGAAUCGAUUGACUUGCGAGCAAAAACAAAUCGGUUGAACUAAGCUAAAAAAACUGGUUGAAUAAGUUCUCUCUUUUUAUAUAUAUAUAAAUAAUAAUAGGCUUUGUUUUUACUACAUGUCAAUUUUUAAUUGGUUAAUUUUUUUUUCAUAUAAAUUGAACAAUUUGACUAAUGACGGAGGUACCAAAUUAUAGUCUAGGUACCAAUUUAUGGGUUAAGCCUAUUUAUAAAAUAGACUUUUGACAGUUUGACUAAUGGCGGUAGUAACUUGGGAAAAAAAAGUAGUUUAUGUACCACUUGUGACAAAAAAUAAGAUUAGGUACCAACAUGGGAAAAUGAGUAUAAUUUAGAUACCGAUUUAUGAGUUAAGCCUAAUAUAUUUGUCGCAUAAUUUUUUGAAAAUAACAGAACUUAAUAAAUUUAACGGUUAUUGUUUGGUGAUUACUAAAAUUUUAAAAUUUGAAAAGUACAUGAACUAAAAAUGACCAAAUUAAAAUAUAAAUAUUAAGUCCACAACUUUUGCAAAGUACAAGGACUAAUUGCAGAAAUUAACCUAAAUUUCAUAUGGGUCAAUUACAAAAAUAAUCACUAAACUAUCCCUUUGGUUCUAUUCUAGUCACUCAACUAUAUAGGUGCUCAUGAGCUUGGCCAGGUCAGGCCUAAGUAAGGGUGAGCAUUCGAUUGAAUCGAAAAUAGGGUUUGGGAUAGAUGGGAGGGGAAUAAAAGUUUUAGGGGAAAAGUGGGAGGGAGUAAAAAUUUUGGGAGAAAAUAAAAGGUUUUGAGGGUUUUGGGGAGUAAAAUAUUGAGAAAAAAUAAAUAGGAGAGUAAAAUUUUGGUGGGAAAUGGAUUUUGGGUAGAUUGGGGGGUUGGGAGGGGAGGGGAGUAAAAGUUUUGGGGGGAAAGUGGGAAGGAGUAAAAGUUUUGAGGGAAAAGUAAAAAAGUUUGGGAGUUUGGGGUAAAAAUGUAAAAUAUUAUAGUUUGAUAUUCGAAUUAUUCGAAUUAUUCGAGUUAUUCGAAUUCGAAAACUCAACUCGAUUCGAACUCGAAAUUCGAAAAAAAAUUCGAGUUGAUUCGAAUAACUCGAUUCGUUUAACUCGAAAUUUGAAUUUUUUUCAAUUUUUUCGAGUCGAAUCGAGUUUUGCUCACCCCUAGUUGCAAGUGCAACUUGCGUGGUGGCUGCCAGAAGGACUGAAUCGUAAAUGUAGCAAAAGUUUUGGGGCAAAAAUGUAAUUUUGAGAAAGUUUAGGGUCAAAAUAUAAUUUUAAAAAAUAUUAAGGGUUAAAAUAUAAUUUUAUAAAAAUUUAAGGGUCAAAAUGAAAUUUUAGAAAAGUUCAGAGGUCAAAAUACAAUUUUUAAAUUUUUUUUAAAAAAAAAAACACGAAAUUAUUCCCACAAAAUUAAGUGAUUACACGUAACUUUUCAAUGUAAAAGAAAAAAAAGACUGUAACACCAAUGUUGUGGUGUUAUUUGUUGCCUAUAAAUACCAUUCCUAUUCUUCAUCUUCCUCUGCAAACAUAACAUGGCCCCCUAUCUCUUUCUCUGCCUAUUCCUCUUCUUUCCCCGUCUUUAUGCUUCUUUUUCUUCUUCAGGAUAUCAGUCCUGCUCUUCAUUAAUCCAGUUUAAGGACUCUUUUUCCAUAACAGAGGAUGCUUCUUCUGAUUGCAAUGAGAUUGCUGGCCUUAAAUCUUAUCCCAAGACAAAUUCAUGGAAGGAGGGUACAGAUUGCUGCUCAUGGGAUGGGGUCACUUGUGACCACCUAAAUGCUCAUGUUAUUGCCCUUGACUUGAGCUGCAGUUGGCUAUAUGGCAACUUCCCUUCCAAUACCACUCUCUUCCUUCUUCCUCACCUUCAAAAACUCAACCUUGCCUACAAUGAUUUUAAUCUUUCCAAAAUUCCAUCCGAGUUCGGUCGGUUUACAAGCCUAUUCUACCUCAACCUUUCCCAUACAGAGUUUGAAGGAGAAGUCCCAUCCCAAGUCUCCCACCUGUCAAAAUUGGUUUCACUUGAUCUCUCCUCUCGGAUUGAUUACUCUGGGCAAGUUACAAUUGACAAACAUGCUCUGGAGGGACUUGUUCACAACCUAACCGAGGUCAGACAUCUGUUUUUGGAUGGAAUGGACAUGUCUUCUGUUAAUGCUCAUGUCUUCAUGAAUCUAUCCUCUUCUCUAAGGUCUCUCAGUCUUGCUUAUUGUGAUUUGCAAGGAAAAUUCCUAAAAAACAUUAUUGAUUUGCCAAACCUCAAUCUCCUCAACUUGGGACGUAACCAAAACCUCAAUCUUGAUCCUUUGAAGUUCAAUCGGAGCAGCAAUCUCGAACAUUUGGAUCUGUCGUGGAUGUCCUUCUCUACAGAAUCCGUUAAUUCAGUUGAUAAUCUACAGGCCUUAAAGUACUUAGAUCUAUCAGGAAAUUCUUUCUUUCAAGGAUUGUCUGUCUCAAUCACAAAUUUAUCAUCUUUGGAGCAAUUGAUAAUUUCAGGCGCAAAUUUUUUUGGAGGAUUGCCUGACUCGAUGGGGAAUCUUGUGUCCUUGAAGUUUUUAUUUCUCUCCGAUUCCAACUUUUCAGGACCGCUUCCAAGAUCACUGGGAAACCUCUUUCAACUCAAGUGUUUAGACUUGAGAUCAAACAAAUUGAGUGGACAAAUUCCAUUGUCAAUUCUAAACCUAACGCAGUUGGAAUACUUGGAAAUAUCUGAAAAUUCUUUAGAAGGUUCCAUUCCAGAUGAGGUAACCGCUUUUCCUAAUCUAAUAUAUUUAUACUUAUCUGACAAUUUACUCAGUGGAACACUUCCGUCAUGGUUGUAUACUGCUCCCUCAUUAGACAGUAUAGGUCUCUCUCAAAAUCAAUUCAGUGGGCAUAUCAAAGAAUUCCAAUCCAAAUCACUAGAAUUGAUAGCGUUAGAGAGUAAUAAACUCCAAGGUCCUCUUCCAUCUUCAAAAUUCCAACUUCUCAAUCUUACCCACCUCUCUUUAUCCUCAAGUAAUCUCAGUGGUGUCAUAGAGUUUCGCAUGUUCUCAAACCUUCCAAAUCUAAAACUUCUUGACCUUUCAUACAACAGCCUAUCCUUAGCAUCUAAUACUACUUCUUGUGUUAACCAUAUAUUGCCUAAUCUUACAGACUUACGUUUGUCAUCUUGCAAUCUUAGUGAAUUCCCCCAAUUUUUGAAAGGGCUUAAAAGUUUGAAAAGGUUAGACCUCUCUUGCAACAAAAUUGAAGGCAAGAUUCCACAGUGGAUGCAAGAGGUGGGGAAUGGCUCUUUGACUUACUUAAACGUAUCUCACAACUAUUUGACAGAAGUUGAGCACUUUCCACGGAAGAAUAUUGAAGUUCUUGACUUAAGCUCCAAUUUGAUCAGUGGAAAUCUUCCGAUUCCAGCUUCGACCAUCAAUGUCUUUUUGAUCUCAAAUAAUAGUUUCAAUGGAGAGGUCUCUUCUUUAAUAUGCAAUGCCAGUUAUCUUAAAAUUCUUGAUUUGUCCCACAAUAACUUGAGUGGAACAAUUCCGCAAUGUUUUGGAAAUUUGAGCAACAGCCUUCAAUUCUUGAAUCUGAAGAAGAACAAGUUCUAUGGGACGAUUCCUCCAACAUUUGCAGAGGGAUGCCAAUUGACUAAUUUCAACAUAAAUGGAAAUCUGUUAGAAGGGCCUUUGACACCAUCCAUCCUUAAUUGUAAUGAACUGGAAGUGCUAGAUCUUGGUAACAACAAGAUCAAUGAUACAUUUCCUCAUUGGUUGGGCAGUCUUCCAUUUUUGCAAGUUCUUGUAUUGAAGUCAAAUCAUAUGCAUGGUUCCUUGCGUGUCAAUAGCUCCAAGUCUAGCCCUUUUUUCUCUAAAAUCCAAAUUUUUGAUCUCUCGAGUAAUUAUUUUUCUGGACCUCUACCUGUGAGAUACAUCAACAGCUUCAAGGCUAUCAUAAAUCUAGAUAAGAUUGGGAGUACAAUGUCGUACAUGGGGGUGUAUGCUCAGAGAGGUAGUGGCUUCUAUACCUAUUCCAUUGGAAUUGUUAUGAAAGGACAAGAUAUGGAAUUGGUGAAAAUUUUCACCAUGUGGAUGAUCAUUGAUCUAUCAAACAAUCAGUUUGAAGGGUGUAUUCCAGAGGUUUUUGGGAAGCUUAACUUACUGAAAGGGCUCAACCUUUCUCAUAACAACCUUCAUGGUGGUAUCCCCACCUCAAUAGGGAAUUUGACAAGUCUUGAAUGGUUGGACCUAUCUUCAAACAGGUUGUCUGGGACGAUUCCAAAUAGAUUGGCAGAUCUGGCAUUUCUUUCGUCCUUCAAUGUUUCUGAUAAUCAGCUCCAUGGUCAGAUUCCUCAAGGCAAACAGUUCAACACAUUUGGAAAUGAUUCAUAUGAAGGAAACAAGGGAUUAUGUGGAUUUCCAGUCUCGAAAGGUUGCAACAUCAUUGAGCCACCACCUCCAAAUGUGCUUGAAAAAGAUGGCUCAAAAUCAAACAUUACUUUUGGUUGGAAAGUGGUGUUGAUAGGUUAUGGAUGCGGAGUGGUGUUGGGAAUGUCCGUGGGAUAUGUUGUUUUCCAAACUGGUAAGCCGAAAUGGUUGGUGAAUUUGGUUGAAAUCCAACAUGAGAAGAAGCAAAGACGAAAGUCAAAGAAAGGCAAUCGAAGCAAUAGACGAAGAAGGAUCUAAGUACAGCAAAUGAUGUUCAAGAAUUAGUGUUGUAUUUUCAAAAUUUCUUGUUCUGUAGACCGUUUUGCCCAUGGUGAAGGGUUGCAUUGGUAUGUGUAUGUCUUUAUUAUUGUACCAAUUCCUGUCUUUCAUUGCAUUUCGUACUAUCUGUAAUGGUUUGUUUGAGUGUAACAUUUUGUAUGGUAUUGUUGUUUAUGUCUUCUUUCAUGACUUUCCAUUUAGUCUCGAUAAUCUUUGCUACUGCUCAGUAAAGGAGGAAGGAGAAUAAAAUGUCUCAAUUUAUGUCAAUUUAUGCUUGCAGAUUUGACGUGGAAUGUUGUUGAACUGAAGGUUGUUUAACUUUUGUCUUCUAAGCUAUACAUGAACAUAUGGGAUGUGACAAAUAUUAUUUUAGCUUUUGCUUAUGAAAUGUUGAAAUAGUGAGUUUAUAUUCCUUGAUUAAUAAAAAGUGAGAUGGAGAUAGUCAAACCUCAAUUUCCACAUUGAAAUUGAAUCCAAACAUUAAUUGGUGGAUCACAUGUCUUGUAUUCUGUCAAGUUAAAGGGAGUGAAUAGAGCACCAUUCUUCUUCUGCGUGGAAAAUAAGUUGGCGUUAUGCCAAUUUUCACAUUCAUACAUAUAAAGGAAGCAAGACCAAGUCAAUAUACUUUGUAAUCUCAUCAUUUCUUCUUCAUUCUUUAGGGAGUUCAAAUGAAAUACAAAUUUUUGGUAAAUCAACUCUUCUUUUUUAUGAAUAAAAAUUAUAUGGUAAAAAGGAAGUGGUGUUAAUAAUAAUAAUAAUAAUAAUAAUAACAACAACAAUACAAAACUAAUAAAGCAAUUUAGUCUAUGAUUUGCACAAUGAUUAAUGUAGCGACCUAAAAAUUUAGGCACGAGCGCUAAUUGAAGUGAUUAUUGAAAAUUUGAAAACAGAAUCUCGAUUUUAUUUGAAAAAGGAGUCGCUAUCGAUCUUUUUUUCUAGGUGUGAUCGGACACCUAAUAAAUUCUCUUUUUAGAAGAAAAAUUUAUUUUUAAAUUUUUCUAAAAAUAGGUAAUUUUUCUAAAAAAUUUAGGGGUCAAAAUGUAAUUUUUUAUUUUUUGAAUUUUUUUUGAAAUUUAAAAAAAUAUAUAUAUAUAAACACGACAAAACCCGGACAAAAUUUAGUGCUUACAAUUAAUACCUAAUUUGAUCCUUGAAUUAUAGUUCAAAAAGUAUUUUUAUAUUUUUAAAUUUUCAUAAAAAUAAUUGUAUCAAAAUUUAAAAAUCUUAAAAAUAAAUACAAAUUUUAUAUAAAAAAUCAAUUGGCCCAAGAAAAAAAAUUUACCAACUAAAUUUUCCAUAUCCAAACUCAUAAAUAAUUCUUCUUUGAACUUUCACAAAAAAAUAUUAAAUACCCUUUCACUUUAUCAUUAUAAAUAUAAUAUACAUUUUUUUCCUUCUUUUUCAUGUAGAUCAGCUUCAACUCUACUAUUCUUAGAUCAUUAUAAAUAUAAUAUAUGUUUUAUUUACAGCUGAAAGUAAAACCUUGAGUUGAAAUUUGGCAGAAAAAAUUGUGGGUUUGGAGAAGAAGAAGAGCACUUUGUAUUUAAAUUUAAAAAAUCAAAAAUUUCAAAACUGAAAGUUACUCAAAACCCUAAACAAUCUAAUAAUUGGAGUUAUAGAAAAGAAAUAUGAGUUUAGAAAUAAAUAAAACAAAAUAAAUUUGCAAAACAAUUUCUAGGCAAAACAACAUGAAGUUGUUGAUGUGAUUGAAGGUGUUCUUCAACGGUGGAAAACAAAUAGAAUUUAAUUUGAAAAUUUUAAGAUUUUUUAAAUAAUAAAAAAUUGCAUUAGUUUAAAAACUUUAGUUUUAAUUUUAAGAUAUUUUUAGAUUUAUACAUAUUUAAUUAUUUUUAGAUUUUUUAGAUUUAAAUGAAGUUACAAUUAUUUUUGAAAACGGUACCUCUACAUUUUUGAAGGUACAAGGAAAUAAAAUAUGGAUUUGGUAUCGAUACUUCGGCCCGAGUAUCAAUGCUCGAGGUAAGUUUAUUGAUACCUUGCGAAAGGUACCAAUAAUUUUUUUAUAUUUUGAUAUUUGGUAAGAAACAUAAUGUUAGUUUGGUAUCGAUUUUCCAUGAGAUAUCAAUACCACUUAAAGAAAAUAUCGAUAGCCCUAGGACAGUAUCAAUACCUAUGUAACAGUUUUAGAAAUUUUGCAACUGGGCCCAUUUGUAGGUUUGAUUGAUGUUUUUAAUACCCUUAGUGUAUGUAUGGCAUGUUUUAAUGAUAAGAAGUGGUUGAACGACUACAACUCAUACGUAGGAUUGAAUAAAGAUGAUGAUUGGUUACUUGUGAAAUUGUUUGCUAAGUAAAUGAUGCAUGAUGGUGGUGUAACAUCCUAAUAUUUCGGCUUGGCGACUGAGCCGAGUAUAGGGUGUUACAAUGUGUUCCACAAGUUUCAUCAGCAAUCCUCAAUGCAUCUAAUUAAUUGGGAAAAUUGAGAAAAUAGAAAUGGUCAAGAAGAUGUAACAUGAUGAGUACCUCUUUGCACCGUCAAGAAUUUUAGUAAGUCUCCAAAUUCAUUCAUUAACCCUCCUUCCUGUUAAAUAUUUAUCAUUAAUUUUAUUAAAUUAAAACAUAAAUUUUUAUAAAUCUAAAGUGUAAUUUAUGAGCCGGGUUAUUCAAUCCAAAAAAAAAAAAUCAGCCAAGACUCUUUGGACAAAUUGCUUGAGUAAAACCAGAAAAUGAAUAACAAUUUUGAUGGAUUUUGAUUACAAAUGAAUUGAGGCAUAAUGCCAUUACAUAUACCAUGCAUUCAGCUGGUCAAAAUGAGACAGACAUCACCUAAUCAUCAACCUAACUCCACUAAGUAGCCUUGAAACUUAUGAAAACAUAACUUGCACACAUAGGUACGCUGAUUUAUCAAUCUAUCAGCACCUAAUUACAUCAAACAUGUUACCAACUUAGUUCAAAUCAAACUAAGCAAGAAAACAUUAACUUAAAGUAACAAAAAAUGAACAGCAGCAUGAACUUCAGCUGCAACUGCAUGGCUGGAGCAGCUCUGCUUCUUGUCUGCAUGCCGGCCAACUUCAACAAGAUCUGAGUAAGGCUAAUUUGUCCAGAAGUUGCAUCAUGCAAAACUAUUUAAUGGCUUUUAGGUAGCUUUGUCAACGGCAAAAAAAAUGAGAAAAUUAGUCAAAUUUCUUCCAUUUUUAUCUUUAAAAAUUUGGUUUUGUGCGUCAACAUGAAGUACAUGUGGCACGUACAUGCAAACUGUCUGAUUAUUUAGACAUCUACACUAGUUUUUAAAGGUAAAAAUAGAAGAAAAUUUUAAUAAACAAGACCAAUUAACUCUUUUAUCUAGCAUACAAGAAUUAUUCUAUACAUCUUUCAAUAAAUGGGGAAAAUUACAUCCACACAUUCUCCACAUUUCAGACCUGUAAUUCUAGCCAAUUGGUCACAAGCAUACAUGUCCCAUUUCAAUAUUCAAAGGUCUGCUUUGAUUAUUUUAUUUUGUGUUCUGUUGUCGCCCCAAAAUAGUUCCACUUGGCACAUCUCCAUACAUUUCAAACAUACCAAAAAUCUGCUGGCAAGCAAUACAAGACAAGUUCCAGCCACUUCAACAUUUGGCUCCUGUUCAUUGCCAAAAGAAAAAAAUAAACAUUUUUUAUAUUUAAUUGAAGGUCAAAAACACAUAAAAAGACAACCGGACAGCUAGUAUUUCAUCCAAUCUUCACAACAUGUCUGUGUGCGUGCAGAUCCUUCACUUCCCAGAAGCCUUUAGCGCGUAUUCUAUUAUAAAAUCACAGAUUACUAUUUAAAUGAUAAAUAAAUUAUUUAAAGUAUGAAAAUAUACAUGUUUUUUUUUAUUGGCUUAAGGGCGUAAAAAAUCCUUAAAUUUUUUUUUUAAAAAAGACAAUUAAAUUUCUCCUUUUUUUACACUCAAUUGAGCACUUAAAGUUUUAAAAUGCAUCAAAAAUACUCUCAAACUUCUUCCGAAAAAACAAUUAAAUCCUUAUUUUCUUUCCCACUCAAUUGGGUGCUUGAACUUUUUCAUAAUAUUUUUUUGGGCGAUUUAAUGAACCAUACAAGUUUCAAGGCUAAAAGAGGCAAAAGAAAAAGAAAAAGAAAAAGAAGCUAAAAUGACUUUUUGUUUGUAAAGUCAAAAAAUACCAAAUAAAUCAUUAUGUCUUUUUAGUUUUAAUUUUUUACUUGAUUAAAAGAGAAAUAAUUAACGAAUGAAAAAUAGCUAUUCCUAAAUAAAUUUAUCAGAAUUUAUAACAAAUGAGAUUUUAGAUUUGAAGUAUGAGGUUAUAUAUAUUAUAUAAGUAUACCUGUUUUUAUGGAAUCGGUGGAUUAUAUUUUCGACAGUCUUCUUCCCCAAGCGUAGUGAAUAGAGCACAAUUUUGUUCUUUUGGAUGGAAAAGAAUUUCUACAUUAAUUAGAUUUGGUUGACAGGCAAAUGAAUAGAUACACACAUUUUUUACGUGUUAUUAAGGAAGAAGACUAAGUCAAUCUACUUUGUAAUCUCAUCAAUCUUAAUUUUUUUAGUUGUUUAGGGAGUUCAAAUGAAAUACAAGAUUUUGCUAUAAAAAAAAAAAGCAUCCAAUUUUAAGAAUGAAAAAUAUACGGUAAAAAGAAGACUAAUGGUUGUUGAUGAUUGUGAAAAAUACAAAAAUUAUUUGUUGCCUAUAAAUACCAUUCCUAUCCUUCAUCUUCCUCUACAAACAUAACAUGGCCUCCUAUCUCUUUCUCUGCCUAUUCCUCUUCUUUCCCCAUCUUUAUGCUUCUUUUUCUUCUUCAGGAUCUCACUCCUGCUCUUCGCUAAUCCAGUUCAAGAAUUCUUUUUCCAUCACUCAGACAGAUGUUGCUUCUUCUUAUUGCGAUGAUCAAUCUUAUCCCAAGACAGAUUCAUGGAAGGAGGGUACAGAUUGCUGCUCAUGGGAUGGGGUCACUUGUGACCACCUAAAUGCUCGUGUUAUUGUCCUUGACUUGAGUUGCAGUUGGCUAUAUGGCAACUUCCCUUCCAAUACCACUCUCUUCCUUCUUCCUCACCUUCAAAAACUCAACCUUGCCUACAAUUAUUUUAAUCUUUCCAAAAUUCCAUCCGAGUUCGGUCGGUUUAUAAGCCUAUUCUACCUCAACCUUUCCAAUACAGGGUUUGCAGGAGAAGUCCCAUCCCAAGUCUCCCACCUGUCAAAAUUGGUUUCACUUGAUCUCUCCUGUCGGGCUGAUGCACAAACAAUUGACAAACAUGCUCUGGAGGGACUUGUUCACAACCUAACCGAGGUCAGACAUCUGUUUUUGGAUGGAAUCAACAUGUCUUCUGUUAAUGCUCAUGUCUUCAUGAAUCUAUCCUCUUCUCUAAGGUCUCUCAGUCUUGCUUUUUGUGAUUUGCAAGGAAAAUUCCCAAAAAACAUUUUUGAUUUGCCAAACCUCAAUCUCCUCAACUUGGGAGGCAACCAAAACCUCAAUCUUGAUCCUUUGAAGUUCAAUCGGAGCAGCAAUCUUGAACAUUUGGAUCUGUCGUGGAUGUCCUCCUCUACAGAAAUUGAUUCAGUUGAUAAUCUACAGGCCUUAAAGUACUUAGAUCUAUCAGGAAAUUCUUUCUUUCAAGGAUUGUCUGUCUCAAUCACAAAUUUAUCAUCUUUGGAGUACUUGAUUCUUAGAGGCGCAAAUGUUUUUGGAGGAUUGCCUGACUUGACGGGGAAUCUUGUGUCCUUGAAGUUUUUAGAUCUCUCCCAGUCCAACUUAUCAGGACCGGUUCCAAGAUCACUGGGAACCUCUUGCAACUCACUCAUUUAGACUUGUCGCAGAACCAAUUGAGUGGACAAAUUCCAAGAUUAUUGGGGAACCUCUUUCAACUCACUCAUUUAGACUUGUCGUGGAACCAAUUGAGUGGACAAAUUCCAAGAUCAUUGGGGAACCUCUUGCAACUCACUCAUUUAGAUUUGUCGAUGAACCAAUUGAGUGGACAAAUUCCAAGAUCAUUGGGGAUCAUUGGGGAACAUCUUGCAACUCACUCAUUUACUUGUCGGUGAACCAAUUGAGUGGACAAAUUCCAAGAUCAUUGGGGAACCUCUUGCAACUCACUCAUUUAGACUUGUCGGUGAACCAAUUGAGUGGACAAAUUCCAAGAUCAUUGGGGAACCUCUUGCAACUCACUCAUUUAGACUUAUUGGUGAACCAAUUGAGCGGACAAAUUCCAAGAUCAUUGGGGAACCUCUUGCAACUCACUCAUUUACAGUUGCCGGUGAACCAAUUGAGUGGAAAAAUUCCAAGAUCAUUGGGGAACCUCUUGCAUCUCACUCAUUUACACUUGCCGAUG
RNAcentral lists this long non-coding RNA (24172 nucleotides) under Gossypium barbadense (sea-island cotton). Its description in RNAcentral is "long non-coding RNA (GBAR_LNC022897)". Lineage: Eukaryota; Viridiplantae; Streptophyta; Magnoliopsida; Malvales; Malvaceae. The record is from RNAcentral.